GUAGAUGGCUCAGUGGUUAAGAGCACUGGCUCCUCUUCCAGAGGUCCUGAGUUCAAUUCCCAGCAACCACA
RNAcentral lists this transfer RNA (71 nucleotides) under Neotoma lepida (desert woodrat). It matches the Rfam family "tRNA". From Rfam's summary of the family: Transfer RNA (tRNA) molecules are approximately 80 nucleotides in length. Their secondary structure includes four short double-helical elements and three loops (D, anti-codon, and T loops). Further hydrogen bonds mediate the characteristic L-shaped molecular structure. tRNAs have two regions of fundamental functional importance: the anti-codon, which is responsible for specific mRNA codon recognition, and the 3' end, to which the tRNAs corresponding amino acid is attached (by aminoacyl-tRNA synthetases). tRNAs cope with the degeneracy of the genetic code in two manners: having more than one tRNA (with a specific anti-codon) for a particular amino acid; and 'wobble' base-pairing, i.e. permitting non-standard base-pairing at the 3rd anti-codon position. Lineage: Eukaryota; Metazoa; Chordata; Mammalia; Rodentia; Cricetidae. The record is from Rfam by way of RNAcentral.